GAUGAACGCUAGCUACAGGCUUAACACAUGCAAGUCGAGGGGAAACGUUUUCGCAAUCUUGCUUUUUAUGGGCGUCUACCGGCUCACGGUUCUGUAUCUCGUAUCCUACUUGCCCAUCACUUUGUCAUUUCCUUCCUAAAGUAAUAUUACUAUCCCAUGAUAUUCCACUUAGGCCUCGGACUGGGAUUGAAGAUUUUUCGUUGUUUUAUGGGGUUGCGUCUGAUUAGCUUGUUGGCGGGGUAACGGCCUACCAAGGCAACGAUAAGUAGGGGUUCUGAGAGGAAGGUCCCCCACAUUGGAACGGAGACACGGACCAAACGCCGACGGGAGGCAGCAGUGAGGAAGAUUGGGCAAUGGGCGAAAGACUGAACCAGCCAAGUAGCGUGCAGGAAGACGGCCCUAGGGGUGGUAAACUGCUUUUAUAAGGGAAUAAAGUGGGUCACGUGUGACUUGUUGCAGGUACCUGAUGAAUAAGGACCGGCUAAUUCCGUG
RNAcentral lists this ribosomal RNA (492 nucleotides) under uncultured bacterium. RNAcentral's name for it is "partial 16S ribosomal RNA". It matches the Rfam family "Bacterial small subunit ribosomal RNA", at positions 28 to 507 of the family's 1533-position model. The record is from RNAcentral.